This 482-nucleotide ribosomal RNA is filed under the name uncultured bacterium. Its description in RNAcentral is "partial 16S ribosomal RNA". It matches the Rfam family "Bacterial small subunit ribosomal RNA", at positions 30 to 507 of the family's 1533-position model. The record is from RNAcentral.
AUUGAACGCUGGCGGCAUGCCUAACACAUGCAAGUCGAACGGAAACGGGCUGUCGUUUUCCGACGCUUGGCUAGCGGGUGAGUAAUACAUCCGGGCGUGCCCUGUCGUUGGGUUUAAGGUGGCGAAAGCUUUGCUAAUACCGCAUACGAUCUACGCUUGUGAUCAAUGGAGCGCAAUGCCUAGCGUGGGCGGUGCGGGCGGUGGUAGAUGAGGUAGUUGGUGGGGUAAAAGUUUUCGAAGCCGAAGAUUUGGACGUGUACUGGGAGGAUGAUCAGCCACACUGGGACUGAGACACGGACCAGACUCCUAAGGGAGGCAGCAGUGGGGAAUUUUGGGCAAUGGGCGCAAGCCUGAUCCAGCCAUGCCGCGUGCAGGAUGAAGGCCUUCGGGUUGUAAACUGCUUUUGUACGGAACGAACAGCCUUCUUCUAAUACGGGCGGGUCAUGACGGUACCGGAUAAAUAAGCACCGGCUAACUACGUG